UUUUUUUUAUAUUUUCUUUUGGAAUUUAUUAAGAUGCAUAUAGAUCACAGUUGAACCACUUGCUUGUUUUUUUUCAGUGUUAAAAUCUUUACAUCCUUGUUACACCAACAUAACUCCAGUGACUAGUUGUGCCAAAGAAACCGUACAAGCUUUACAUUGCAACCUCUUGUAACUAUGGAAAUAUAUAUGGUUCAUUAAUCUACAAAUCCGAGAGGAUGGCAAGAGACCCAUGAACUAUGGACACUUUGCCAAAUAAAAGCAAAAGCCAUCCAGGCAACCAACAAAAAUUUAUACCCUACCAAUUAAAGAAAUCAACUUCAGAAACUUCAUGGCAAAAUUAUGUAAGAAUAUGAAGUACCAUCAACCAUGUAUUGCAGGUUAAAAGAGAGAGGGAGAGAGAAUUACCUUGUGAAAGCCAAGCGCAAGCAUUAAAGUAGCUAGCGAGCAAAGCAGAGAAGCAGUGACUCUGAGCGCUGGCAUCAAAGACUUCAUUGCACCACCUAACUCCACCGGAAGCCCUAUUUAUUCUCAUGGAUUCCAAGAACUAAGCCUUGUGAAUAUCCAGCCCCAAGAAAUCAAAGCAGAGUGGAAACCCAAGGCAUCAACCACGUACUCCGAGAUCUUAAAUAAAAGAAUUAUCAGAAAUGAAUUAUAAAGGCCUGUAAAGAUUUACCAGUGUCAUCUGGUCUCCUAAAGAAAAAACACCGAAGGCUAGUAGAAUGAACACACUCAC
Molecule: long non-coding RNA, 733 nt
Filed under: Phoenix dactylifera (date palm)
Lineage: Eukaryota; Viridiplantae; Streptophyta; Magnoliopsida; Arecales; Arecaceae
Description: long non-coding RNA (PDAC_LNC000751)
Source: RNAcentral